RNAcentral lists this unclassified non-coding RNA (332 nucleotides) under soil metagenome. RNAcentral's name for it is "partial contains 5.8S ribosomal RNA, internal transcribed spacer 2, and large subunit ribosomal RNA". The stretch from base 1 to 120 matches the Rfam family "5.8S ribosomal RNA", at positions 35 to 154 of the family's 154-position model. The record is from RNAcentral.
GAUGAAGAACGUAGCGAAAUGCGAUAAGUAAUGUGAAUUGCAGAAUUCAGUGAAUCAUCGAAUCUUUGUACGCACAUUGCGCCCGCCAGUAUUCUGGCGGGCAUGCCUGUCCGAGCGUCAUUUCAACCAUCAAGCCCCGGGCUUGUGUUGGGGACCUGCGUCCGACGCAGGCCCUGAAAACCAGUGGCGGGCUCGCUGUCCACACCGAGCGUAGUAACUAACCUCGCUAUGGAGUGGCGCGGGCGCCUGCCGUAAAACCCCCAAUUUCACAAGGUUGACCUCGGAUCAGGUAGGAAUACCCGCUGAACUUAAGCAUAUCAAUAAGCGGAGGA